This 164-nucleotide microRNA precursor is filed under the name Eugenia uniflora (Surinam cherry). Its description in RNAcentral is "miR10222 stem-loop (eun-MIR10222)". The record is from miRBase by way of RNAcentral. Lineage: Eukaryota; Viridiplantae; Streptophyta; Magnoliopsida; Myrtales; Myrtaceae.
CCAUAAUAGCUCUUUAGUUGUAGAAUGGAUAUGAUACAUGUAACAAGUUGGCUGUCAAUGAACAUUUCAAAGGUCAUGCUAGUGGAAUCUCUUUGAGAUGUUCAUGGACAGCCAGCUUAUUACAUGUAUAAUAUCCAUUGUACAAUUACAGAGCUAUCUAGUGG